Molecule: unclassified non-coding RNA, 266 nt
Filed under: Hevea brasiliensis (rubber tree)
Lineage: Eukaryota; Viridiplantae; Streptophyta; Magnoliopsida; Malpighiales; Euphorbiaceae
Source: RNAcentral
CGAACUCGAUGUAACCGCCCGCAGCACCUUCAUCCUCAUCAUCGAUCCCACCGGCAACCCGUCGUUCACCCCAAUGUUAUCAGGCAACUCAUUAUAAGCCUUCAAGAGCCAAGCCUCAUCUAGCAUGUACUUGAGGAUGACAUCAGCUUUAUCAUCCUGCUAAUCCCAAGGAUGACGAGGAUUAUAUCACCGGCGGCGAUCCAAACUUUCAUGUGCAUCUUCCCUAGGAUGUGGCAGAGGCGUUUGGAGCUUCGCAGCGGCUGGUU